UGGGGGAUAUUGCACAAUGGGGGAAACCCUGAUGCAGCAACGCCGCGUGAAGGAAGAAGGUCUUCGGAUUGUAAACUUCUGUCCUCAGGGAAGAUAAUGACGGUACCUGAGGAGGAAGCUCCGGCUAACUACGUGCCAGCAGCCGCGGUAAUACGUAGGGGGCAAGCGUUAUCCGGAUUUACUGGGUGUAAAGGGAGCGUAGACGGAUCUGCAAGUCUGGAGUGAAAGCCCGGGGCUCAACCCCGGGACUGCUUUGGAAACUGUGGAUCUAGAGUGCCGGAGAGGUAAGCGGAAUUCCUAGUGUAGCGGUGAAAUGCGUAGAUAUUAGGAGGAACACCAGUGGCGAAGGCGGCCCUCUGGGCCGAGACCGACGCUGAGGCGCGAAAGCGUGGGGAGCAAACAGGAUUAGAUACCC
This 415-nucleotide ribosomal RNA is filed under the name uncultured bacterium. Its description in RNAcentral is "bacterial SSU rRNA". It matches the Rfam family "Bacterial small subunit ribosomal RNA", at positions 355 to 787 of the family's 1533-position model. The record is from RNAcentral.